ACGGGAGGCAGCAGUGAGGAAUAUUGGUCAAUGGGCGGAAGCCUGAACCAGCCAAGUCGCGUGAAGGAUGAAGGUAUUAUGUAUUGUAAACUUCUUUAGACGCAGAGAAAUAAGAGGGUCGUGACCCUUGAUGCUAGUAUGCGUAGAAUAAGGAUCGGCUAACUCCGUGCCAGCAGCCGCGGUAAUACGGAGGAUGCAGGCGUUAUCCGGAUUUAUUAGGUUUAAAGGGUGCGCAGGCGGGACAUUAAGUCGGUGGUGAAAUACCGUGGCCCAACCACGGGGCUGCCAUCGAUACUGAUGACCUUGAGUGCGUGUGACGUAGGCGGAAUGUGGAGUGUAGCGGUGAAAUGCUUAGAUAUUCCACAGAACACCGAUUGCGAAGGCAGCCUACGAAUGCGUAACUGACGCUCAUGCACGAAAGCGCGGGUAGCGAACAGGAUUAGAUACCCUGGUA
This 454-nucleotide ribosomal RNA is filed under the name uncultured Paludibacter sp. Its description in RNAcentral is "partial 16S ribosomal RNA". It matches the Rfam family "Bacterial small subunit ribosomal RNA", at positions 341 to 792 of the family's 1533-position model. The record is from RNAcentral. Lineage: Bacteria; Pseudomonadati; Bacteroidota; Bacteroidia; Bacteroidales; Paludibacteraceae.